Molecule: ribosomal RNA, 253 nt
Filed under: uncultured bacterium
Lineage: Bacteria
Description: partial 16S ribosomal RNA
Rfam family: Bacterial small subunit ribosomal RNA
Source: RNAcentral
UACGAAGGGGGCUAGCGUUGCUCGGAAUCACUGGGCGUAAAGGGUGCGUAGGCGGGUCUUUAAGUCAGGGGUGAAAUCCUGGAGCUCAACUCCAGAACUGCCUUUGAUACUGAAGAUCUUGAGUUCGGGAGAGGUGAGUGGAACUGCGAGUGUAGAGGUGAAAUUCGUAGAUAUUCGCAAGAACACCAGUGGCGAAGGCGGCUCACUGGCCCGAUACUGACGCUGAGGGGCGAAAGCGUGGGGAGCGAACGGG